UUUUUUCUCUCUGGGCUUAAUCUGGAUACUUUCUACUUGCUCAUCUCUCACUUCUGCUCUCUUUUGCUCCGUUUGAUCUGCUGUUAAAUACCUCUAUUUUAUUCUUAAUUGAAGAAUAAUCAUGGUUGAAGUCUGUGUUUGAUGACUCCAAUAUCUAGAUACCGGGAACCUUGACCACACCACCCGACACUCAUCUGCAAUAUCCAAUGGCAGCUCCACUGUGUGAGAAGACCCUUGGUAAUGAGAAAUCUUGUUACCUCGUCUCUGGAUCUCUCAACAUUGUAGAAGCGGGCACCGGUGAACAGAGGCCAAGUUUCAGCAACAAGUUCCCAGCUGUUCAUCUCUGCGCUUGGACACCUGUGCAUACACCCCUGGAUAACUCUCUGCACCUGAGGCACAGAAGCAUUGUUCAGAUGACUGAUGCCUGCAAUCAGAAAGAAAGGUCAAGAAGAUGCCACGAUGUCUGCCUUGGCUCAACAACAUAAGGCAAUCUGAACAAAUGGGCUUUGAAGUUGAAGCUC
This is a long non-coding RNA of Globicephala melas (long-finned pilot whale), 521 nucleotides long. RefSeq lists it as uncharacterized. The record is from RefSeq and is a predicted model, not a curated record. Lineage: Eukaryota; Metazoa; Chordata; Mammalia; Artiodactyla; Delphinidae.